Long non-coding RNA from Egretta garzetta (little egret), 7101 nucleotides. RefSeq lists it as uncharacterized. Lineage: Eukaryota; Metazoa; Chordata; Aves; Pelecaniformes; Ardeidae. The record is from RefSeq and is a predicted model, not a curated record. The transcript is spliced from 5 exons.
AGCAUGUUUGAGUUUUCUGCUAGUACUUGCAGCUGUCAGGAUAACGCUUGAUGUUUCCCCUUACGCACAAUUUUCCCCCAUAUGAGAUGUAAGGGGAUGGUCUGAAGUCUUAGCUGUUAGUUCAGUGAUUGGAGGCUUAUGUGUAACUUCAGCGAUUUGCAUUCAAUUAAUUUUCUGAAUUUUUACAAAUACAAGAAAUAAAAACAUUUCCCUGCUAUAUAAAAGAUAAGUUAUCAUAUUUUCAACAUUAGUGCUCUAAAUAACAUUUAUUGAUUUAGGGCCCUGGAUUUUAUAGCAUCGGAACCAUUCAAUACUAGAAAGUAAACAUGCUGAAAGUAGGGUUCUAAAUUAAAUAUGAAUAGCUACAUAUCUGCUGUACAUCUGCAAGCAGGCUGUAGGUUCUAGAGCUUUGUUCAAUCCAAGAUAGGACAUGGCAGUAUUCAUUUUCUCAGAGCAGGGCUUAUUUGCCUGAGUAGCUGUGGUGCUUCUGGCUCCAAUGUUAUAUAGUCUCUACUAACAUAAUACAGAAAUAUAUGAGCUCCAGUGUGCAAUAUUGAUGUAGCUGAAGUGUUUAUAGUCUUCUGGAUAUAAAUGGCAGAUGGUGAUUAAGAUUUUAAUUUAUUAUCUUGGCAACUCUAGCUGUCCUUAAGAAAAACCUUUAAAUUCACUUGCAUUGAUGUAAGUUUGAAAAAAAAGAAAGCUAACUAAGAUAUAUGAAAAACUUGGUAAUUAUAAAAUGUGUUGUUCUUUAUUUUGCUAUUUGAAUAUAAACUAUGUUGUCCUUGGUGCAGAUACAUCUGUCUUCAGUACCUAUGAAAUUGAAUUAUUUUCCCCAGUUUUUAUAACACUGUAGAUACUGUUCUGCGCAUUUGCAUGGCUAGGUACCAUAACUCAAACCACAAGCAAAAUUGUUCAUAAAGUUUCAAAUUCUAAAUGAAAAUAGAAAUUGCUAUGUUGGAUUCAGUUUUCGCUUCUUUCUAAAAUCAUAAAAGGGCAAAAUUCUGAUUAAAAAACACAAGUCACAAAGGUUUGGCUUUGGGUCUUUUUUCACCUCUGAUUCAUAAUCUAGAUCUUUAACUAAACAGUUCUUCCAGAAAAAGGAAAUUUUAGGAUUGAAGAUUCAGGCCGUCUAGCUGGGUAGUGUUGCAGUUGUCACUGUUCUGUCACCUCAGUUGUGCUUCUGAGUGCACGGGCUGUUAACUGUCUCUCUAGUAAAGUAACUGUGCUCAACGCUCCUUAUGCCAAAGUGUGAGACUAGCCUUGAAUAUGAAAUUUUUGAGCAAAAUCCUGUUGAAACAUUUAGGAUUGUCAUUUUGUUUCUUUUCUCACAGCAAACACAAGUUCAGUUUUGGGUAGCAUACAUGCUGUUCUCCAGUGAGCAAAACCAAGAGAAGGCUACUGUGAAUGUGUUUUAUUUAGCAAAGUUUCUUAAAAUCUGUUUCUAGUUAAAUGACGAUGUGAUAAUCAUUUGAUAUUUUCAGGAUUCAGUUUGAAUAUUUGUUUUAGAGAAUGUUUUUCAAGUAUCAGACUGACAAUGGACUAUAACUUGCCUAUGCUUCAGAGUGAAACUGCAGCUCUAGUUAAGUAGUGGAAGGAAGAGAGCACAUGCUUUGUACAUGCUUAGCCCUUGACCAACAAGACCAUUUGUUGUUGAUAAUAGACUGAACUAUUUUGACCGUUGUUGCUUGUGCCAAUAAUGUCCUUUGCACCCUUCAAAAUUGUAUCUUGUUGAUACAUAUUCUAGAAAUCUGCAUGGCAGACUUGUCAGGGACUUUUAUGACCAUGCGCUGAAAUAAAACAUCCCCUUAAAAAAAUCUGCAGCAUAUGCAAGGCCUCCAAGGUAUACUCCAGGUAUAUUCUCCCUAGAUAGCAAUCGGGAAUCUAGUACCUAAGGUGUUAUUUGGUCUCAGGAAGAGGUCAUAGGGGUGAAAUAUGUGUGCUAUAAGAACUUUACUGACAUGGCAAAGUCAUAUUUUCUAAUUACAAUUACUUGUACCAGCUUGAAGUUUGCAAAAUGAGCUACUGACUACAGCGAGACUUUAAUAAGGGUGUUGGUGGCUGUGGGAAGAAGGUGAGACUCUCUUGCCUAAUGCAAGUCCAGAAAUACAAAUGGAAAGCCAAUGUUCAGCCUAUAUGUUCUUAAUGGGAGAAGUGGUAUUCUGUCAUCAACAAUGAUGAAAACAGAAGGGCUCCCAAACUUUUAUCCCAAAGAUACUUCUGGAUAAUGUCACUGACACAUCUGGCACAAUUGCGUGGCUGCAGGUAUCCUAUCAACACUGACAGAGCAUCAGUCCACUGACGUUACCAGCCAGAGUCAGAUGCCCACCCUGUGGGGCUGCUGCCAAAGAGUAGUGAAAUGUUCCUUCCAGAAUAUACUCCCUAACACUACUACUAGCUCCUUGGCUGAGCUGGCUGGUAAGCCAAGCCUCUUUUUUUUUAUUUUGACCUGUCUGUUGUGAGCCAGCAUGGACUUUUCUUCAGCAGCAGCUUCCAAAUUGAUCUCUAAUCAGCCAGGCUUCCUCUUCCUUAUCAGCCAAGCACUCAAGAAAUGUGUUUGGUUUGGGAUUUUUUAUGAGGGUUUUUCCAAGUCACCUGGCCAGUGUAACCUGAAAGUGGACCCCACCAGUCAUGCAGUGAAACUGCUGUGAAGAAGGACUUUGUCUUCACAGCAGGCAAGCUCUGUGAGCUGAUACUAGUAAUGUAAGAGGGAAGUGCCCUUCACUGGAUAAACAGCUACCUAUGGAACGCUGAUGCAGUACUGCCAAUAUAUUUUUUCGCCUUAUAUUGUGAAUGGAUAUAUACUUUCGGCACUUGACAAAGCAACAAAAUAGUUGCACAUUACAACAUACGGGGUUUCUGUCUUGGAAAGACCCUAAUUUUCUGUUUCUGUGACAUAUAAAUGCUAGCCUCUAUGUGACUCAUCCUGCUGUUAGCUUCUCAAGGAAGAGAGGCUAUAUUCACAUCACUUGGAAGAAUAUGAAGUGGAAUGGAGGGUCCUGCCUUUGAGAAGCCAGGAAAGGAAGGGAAAGGUGAACAUCCUUGAAUAGGUAUCUUUCACAGGUGGCAUUAGGACAUACUUGAUAUAUGAAGCAAGUGAUUGUAUUUUGCUGGACUAUGAACCAUGUAUUGGCUUCCCCUUCCCUCCUCCUCUGCCUUCCUCCCUCUUCCAACACAUACACUCUUUUCUAUACAUAUCCUUCCUAUGAGAUACGCUUCUGAGGAGGUUCACUGUCCAGAAACAAUGUAUGAACCUGUAAGCCACCAGGCUGGAUGGGUUUCCCAUUCCUCAUGUGAAUUACAAAGUGUGCAGCAGAUCAUGAUAAUCCUGCCAGUGCAGAAGGCAAAGCCAGUGUGUAUGGAGAUGCCUGAAGGCCUAGUUCAUUAUCAUCUGGCAGAAGUUAAGGACCUACUGAAUUUCCAGUAGCUUUGAUGAUGCUACAGAAGAACGUUAAACACCAGAGCAACAGAGAUUCAGUAGCUGCCUUUCUUGUGCUUGACUAGAUGUGUCUUGAAGUUCUACUUGGUAAAAGCUGUCUUCUCUAACCGCCACCUUGUAGAUCAUAGGUUGGUGCACCAUACUGGCUCAAUGAGGUUUGCUAACAAAUGGAGUCUCUGACAGGUUGCUUCAACUUGACAUCAGUGCUCAAAACCAAUGAUGGUGUUAACUUUUGCUGAAAGUGGCAGGAAAUAAGUAUUCAAGUGAAAUAAAUGACUUUUUCAAGCUGUCAAGCAAAAUAGGAUGCAGCAAUUAACAGACCAGAAGAAUGAGUUGUCCAAAUUCGCUCCAGAAUUUCCUGCAGAACAGUGAAUGAGUGAAUACCAGGAAUGAGUCUUUGAAAUAUAUUUCAGGCUUGCGUUUGGACGCAAGAUGACAAGCCCCAUUUAUUGAAAACUUAAGUACUGCCAAAAAAGGCUGUUACACCUUUCUUCAUUUUGCAACAGUGGAUCUUUAAUCAACCUAUUUAUUCAUCCAGACUGCAUCUGAAAAACGGGACAUCCAACAAGGUGAGUAUUGUGCUUAUGAAUCAACUAAAAAGAACCAUUCAACAGAGUAUGUCUGUCAGAAACGUGUUCUUGAAGUUAAAUAUUUUUAACUGCUGCUUUAUAAAACAUUUUUUAUUCACAUAUGUUGCAAUUCUUUAUUGUGUGAUAAUGCUUUUUAUUUAUAAAUAACAUCAGUAUUUUUAAAGACUGGAAUACAUUGUACUGAUUCCAUUUGUUUCCACUGUGAUAGUAAACUGAAUUAAUGGAAAUAAUGUUGCAGGUACUUUGUCAUUCAUUCAUGUUAAAGUAGAGAAAAAUGCAUUUAUAUUCAAAAUGGAUGUGAAGAAUUAAAAAUAAAUUAAUCUUUCUGAUGUCCUAGAUCAGGCAAGGAAAGUUAAAAUCAAGUUUAAAUUGGGGUAAUGAUGAGAUUAAGCCUUCUGUAGCCUUAUUGUUUUAAGUACAUAAGGAAAGAACUUUACAUGCAGUAUUUUAGCAUCUGAUGUCCUACAUCUCUUAAAAAAAGGUUUUACAGUCACAACUAUGGAAUACAUAUUUCCAAAGUCCUUUUCUUCCCAGCAGUGCCCAAAUCUGAAUGACUGUGUCAUUAUAUUUAGAUUCUAACAGUGCACUCCUUUUUAAAAAUAUACACCCUUACUUUUUAAAUAAUGUGCUAUUGUUUUUAGUUUCCUGUUUCCUUUUGAUCUAAGUUCAUUGCUGAAAACUUGCUUCAUUUUAUCUUUAAUCUGAUAAGGUAGAACUUUGACAACUAUCUGUUUCUUCACCAAAAUCUUACAACUGGGAGACCCCAAGUGACCAGUACCUUUCUUCAGUCCGGAUGAAUACCUUCUAUUUCACUUGCAGUUGCCAGUGGUUUGGUUUUAUACUUAAUCUCCUAUUAUUUGUCUUCUUGUGUGAAUGGCUUUUAUAAAAGCAGUACCAUUGCUUUUGUAAAAGUGUGUUGAGUGGAGUGUACUGGUGGCUGUACAACCCAAGACAAUGGUAGGAAUUCACUGAGCACAAUUAAUAAAUUAAAUCAUAGCAUGAAUAUUGAUGUAUUAAUAGUGCUGUACAGCUAGUGCUGUGUACAACUAGCAUACACCAGCAUUCUUGAACAGUGUAUAAGUUAGUAUAUGCUAUUGUUGUAAUGGAGGAAGUUAGCAAUUAUUUUAAUGUGCUUGGUUAUAUUUCACACCAGAAUGUAAUUUCUAAACAUAGCAUUAUGAUAUGCAGGUGAUAACUACUUUUCUGUUACUCUGUAGUCUUCAAAUGACCAAACUGUGAUUUGUUUGCAUCUUAAGAAGUUGGAAAGAGAAGUACAAGUAAACCACAAGAGAAAGGUAAGAAUUAGAAUCUGAUGAAUCAUAUAAUUAUAGAAUAUCUCAGGUUGGAAGGCACCCACAAGGAUCAUCAAAUCCAGCUCCAUGAUCCUCGCAGGACUACCUGAAAAUAAACCAUGUGAUUAAGAGCAUCAUCCAGACAUUCCUUGAACUCUGACAGGCUUGAUGCUGUGACCACUUCCCUGGGGAGCCUGUUCCAGUGACCCACCACCCUCUCAGUGAAGAACCUUUUCCUAAUGUCCAGUCUGAACUUCCCCUGAGGCAGCUUCAUUCCAUCUCCUUGUGCCCUGUCGCUGGUCACCAGAGAGAGGAGACCAGCACCUCCCCCUAUGCUGCCCAUCUUGAGGAAGUUGUAGACUGUGAUGAGGUCACCCCUGAGCCUUCUCUUCUCCAAGCUAGGAAGUGUCAAGACAACAAAAAUGAAGGGUCAAAACAACAAAAAUGAAAUAAACAUAGCAACAUCACUGAUUGCACAUUGCAUUUUUAGUCCAUGAUGUUGAGUUUCAUUACUGUUUUGAACUCAGAACUUACCGAAGCUUAAAUGUUUUUUUAUCAGCACUGACUUUCAUUGUUAAUCUAUUUCUAAACUGCGAUUUCUGCUUCUCUCUUAUCCCCUCACUUCUCAACAUUUCGCUGGUCUUCAGCUCCUUUUACUCCUUCAUCAAUGUUAGCUUUUGACCUAUGGAUUUUUGUCUGCCCUCCAUGAUUCUAAGCUAACUCCUAAAUGGGAUAUAUGUGAGUAAAUGCUGGGAAACUUAGGUAUUUUGCAGGCUGUAAAACUACCAUGUACUAGUCAGUGUUGCAUGUGAGAAACCUUGUAAAGGCAAGAUGUUAAAUCUGUGUUAAUUUCUUUGAGUUGUUGGGCUCUAUAGUCUAAUAAAAAUGUGAGCUGAUAUGGUUAUUAUUUGUAAAGACAAGCUUCUUUUGUCCUCUACCCCAAAUGGACCACACUAAUCACUGUGAUGAUAUGAUUUGUGCCUCCUUUUGAACCUUCUUAAUUUAGGCCUCUCUUUGCACAGGAAACAUGGUUAGACAGUUUCUUAAGUAAGUAGGAGACACAGUUCUGCCUGAAUCUAGAUGGAAGCUUUUGAAAUUAUUUCUGUAAGACUAUUACGCUUUUGUUUGGACUGGUACAUGAAGCAUAAGUGUAUCUGGCACUUUAAUUUCCUCAGUUUUGGCUACAGAGUAAAACCAGGAUAAAAUUAUGAGGGCAGGAGAUAGGAAGUUCCAGCAUGGGUAGAGAAAAGCAAAGUUCCCAGGUACUUCAGCCCCCCGAAGGUAAAAUCCAGGGAGGAAGGAGGCUGGAGAAGUGCAAGGAUGGAAAAUUUAGUGGAAGAGUGGAGCUUUGUGGCAGAAAAAAUGGAAUAUCAAAUGAAAUAUCAAAGCAAAGACUAAAGGAAACAUCAGCACUGCUGGUUAAAUUUUGUUACAUGAAAUGCGUUGUGUUCAGUGUCCAAGAAGAAAACAAAGCAGGUAAAUAUUCCCGUAGAAAAUGUACACUGUGAAUUCUGAGAACAGGCAUAGAGCAGUCAUUUUCCAUGUCAUUAGUUCCUAUAAGAUCCCAUACUUAAUGUAAGCAGAUUUUUCCAGGUGCAUCAUUACUGACACCAAGCUUUCCUAAUAGACUUCAGAGAGGACCCAAGUGCUGAAAAUGGGAGGAUGGUCAUUUUAUUCUUUGAGGGAAAGAAAAAGGCCAAGAGUCUGCUAGAAAGAAUGCAAGAAUUUUGUUUCCUUAAAACACUUUGAAAGACUUCGUUAAAAGGAAAUUCAAGAGUCAGAG